RNAcentral lists this non-coding RNA (29 nucleotides) under Cricetulus griseus (Chinese hamster). The record is from RNAcentral. Lineage: Eukaryota; Metazoa; Chordata; Mammalia; Rodentia; Cricetidae.
UAGAUGUGACUGGAUCCAGUUCUGAGCAU